RNAcentral lists this small nuclear RNA (174 nucleotides) under Nelumbo nucifera (sacred lotus). RNAcentral describes it as "U2 spliceosomal RNA". It matches the Rfam family "U2 spliceosomal RNA". From Rfam's summary of the family: U2 is a small nuclear RNA (snRNA) component of the spliceosome (involved in pre-mRNA splicing). Complementary binding between U2 snRNA (in an area lying towards the 5' end but 3' to hairpin I) and the branchpoint sequence (BPS) of the intron results the bulging out of an unpaired adenosine, on the BPS, which initiates a nucleophilic attack at the intronic 5' splice site, thus starting the first of two transesterification reactions that mediate splicing. The record is from Rfam by way of RNAcentral. Lineage: Eukaryota; Viridiplantae; Streptophyta; Magnoliopsida; Proteales; Nelumbonaceae.
AUACCUUUCUCGGCCUUUUGUUUAAGAUCAAGUGUAGCAUCUUUUCUUAUCAGUUUAAUAUCUGAUACGUGGGCCAUCGGCCCACAUGAUGUUAAACUAUUUUUUCUUGGGGGAAGGCCCACUAAAGUAGCUUGCUACUAGGGAUGGCAAUUUUUCCCGAUGGGGAAAUUUUCA